Molecule: non-coding RNA, 3549 nt
Organism: Xyrichtys novacula (pearly razorfish)
Lineage: Eukaryota; Metazoa; Chordata; Actinopteri; Labriformes; Labridae
Source: the annotation of a GenBank genome assembly
GGGCGCUUACGUUCUUCCUGCAAUAUGAGAAGGGAGGGAGGGACUCUCAGCAGGGAUGCAGUCUGGGACACGUAGUUGCAAACCUAGCGACUUUGUUGUUAGAUUCAAUGACUUUUCAGACCCCCUAACGACUUUUUUUUAGAAAGAAAGUGACUUUUAUCGACUUCUUCUGGAGUUUAGAGACUCUGACAUGAAGCAGGCUUUCCUUACUGAGGAGUUAGCAACGCUGCUAAGGGUGCAGAGCCACACAUGCGCUCCGAGCUCUGCAUGGGAGACUGAAGCUGACAGAGCUGCAGCAGUUAGCAGGUUUCACCCUCAGAGACCACCAGGGGUUCAUGUUGAGGCAUUUUCAGUUUUUUUUUUUUUUUUUGCCAUAGACACUGUCAGCACAAUCUGCAGUUACACUAACAAAAAUGCUGCAAAAAACAAAGUCCAUGUGUAAUUUUUCCAUAAUUCUAACAGAGGAGGAUCUACACAAGUUUUUUACAUCAUGUUUUACAUCAUGCAUCAUUUACAUCAUGUUUUUUUGUAGUGGCAUAAAUAAAAAGUGACAUUUGUGAGACUAUACAGUGUUUUGUAAAUAAUUUUACAAAGAACACCUGGGCCAUUGCCUGCAUUUUGAUGUAAAUAGAGGUAAAUUACUAUGUUCUUUGUUAAAAAUUUGCAUAUGUUUUGAAGUUUACAAUUUUUAUUUGAAGUUUAAGUUUUAAAAACAGUUCAUCACACAUAUUUGUGGUUUUCACAGUAAAAACGUUACUUUUUUCCACUCGGAUUUUAUGUUUUGUGUGUGAAUUUGGGUCCAAUGUGUAAAUAUAGUAUGUCAAAAUGAUAAAAUAACUGUAAAUUGACACAGGUGAGGUUGUGCUGAAAAAAAUGAUACCAGGCAAGGCAAGGUAAAAAUUUUGUAAGAGGAAAUAUAAAGGUAAAAUCUAAAGUAGUCAAAAACGGCCAAUAGUGACUCACAGACUCCACAGACAAGUCCCUUUGGCGCCACUCAGUGGGCAAAACUACUUUGUCUACUGUAAUGUAUAUUUGGGUCAUCUUUGGCGCCCCCUAAAACGUAAACCGUGGGGUGCAGCGUCAUGAUUUUUACAACUUUGAAUGGCCAUGGAGUGUAGAUUGGCCUGAGCAAAUUUGGUGUCAUUGGGACGAAAGCCUUAGGAGGAGUUAGCGAAAUUCCAAUGUGUGCGAAUCGGCAAAAAAUGCAAAAUAGCCCUUUUACCGUACAUUAUACAGAUACGCGCUCUUUGACUUUUUCAUAGAUCUAAUUGAGAUACACAUGAUUGUCAAUUUUUGUGUCAUUUUGCCAAAGCGUACAGGCGUGACAGUCAACAAUGUGUAUUUUCACCUUAGGGGACAAGAAAAAAUGGACUUUUUUCUCCUGCCAUGGGGGGGCGCUCUUUUAGGGAGUAAAAAUUCCUUCACAAAUGUGUUGAUGGCUGGACAUUGCAUCAUCCUAGAAAACUUGGAGGCCAGUGAGGACAAAAAUAAAAAGUUAUAAGACUUUUAAAAAUGUGGAUUUUUGGGUUAUCUUUGGCGCCCCCUAGAACGUAAACCGUGGGGUGCAGCGUCAUGAUUUGAAUAACUUUUAAUGGCCAUGGGGUGUAAUUUGGCCUGAGCAAAUGUGGUGCCGGUGGAACGAAAGCCUUCGGAGGAGUUAGCGAAAUUCCAAUGUGUGCGGAUCGGCAAAAAAUGCGGAAUAACCCUUUAACCGUACAUUUGACAGAUACGCGCACAUUGACUUUUUCGUAGAUCUUAUUGAGAUACACGUGAUAGUCAAAUUUUGUGUCAAUAUGACAAAGCGUACAGGUGUCACACUCAACAAUGUGAAUUUUCACCUUACGGGACAAGAAAAAAUUGACUUUUUUCUCCUGCCAUGGGGGGGCGCUCUUUUGGGGAGUAAAAAUUCCUUCACAAAUGUGUUGAUGGCUGGACAUUGCAUCAUCCUAGAAAACUUGGAGGCCAGUGAGGGCAAAAAUAAAAAGUUAUAAGACUUUGAAAUAUGUGGAUUUUAGGGUUAUCUUUGGCGCCCCCUAGAACCUAAACCGUGGGGUGCAGCAUAAUGAUUUGAAUAACUUUUAAUGGCCAUGGGGUGUAGAUUGGCCUGAGCAAAUGUGGUGCCGGUGGAACAAAAGCCUUCGGAGGAGUUAGCGAAAUUCCAAUGUGUGCGGAUCGGCAAAAAAUGCGCAAUAACCCUUUAACCGUACAUUUGACAGAUACGCCCGCACUGACUUUUUUGUAGAUCUUAUUGAGAUACAUGUGUGUGUCAAUUUUUGUGUCAUUUUGACAAAGCGUACAGGCGUCAGGUGAAUUUUUCACCUUAGGGGGCGCUAUGGAGCCAUUUUGCAUUGUAUUGUUUGGGCGACUUCAGAAUAUCAAAUUUUUGACCAGGCCCGGUCGUCCUGCCAAAUUUCAUGAGUUUUCGCCAGUGGGAAGUGGGCCAUUUUCCAGUUCAAAGGGGAGGAAAAAGAAACUAGGGCCCCGUUGGGGCACUGGCGGGCCCGAGCCGUGUCGCGCCGCCCCCAGUGCGACUGCCUACCCCUCCCGAUUGCGUCACACUCAAGGUCCAAAGAUGGUGUGCGCACUUGUCUGUGGUCAUUUACCAUUAUAAUGAAUGGGAGGCGCAGUUUCUACCAAAACGCUCGCUGCAGACAAACUCCAUGUCCUUUUUGAAAAAAGUCUGGACCAUGAGUGAGGGCACAAACACAGCUAGUAUAUAUCCAAAUGGCAAGUUGCUCCUCCUUUCGGUUUUGCCGAGAGAGCGAUGCGUUUGAGCCAUUGAGCGAUGGGCAGGAAAAACUUGACUUUUUCUCCUGCCAUGGGGGGGCGCUCUUUUGGGGAGUAAAAAUUCCUUCACAAAUGUGUUGAUGGCUGGACAUUGCAUCAUCCUAGAAAACUUGGAGGCCAGUGAGCACAAAAAUAAAAAGUUAUAAGACUUUUAAAAAUGUGGAUAUUUGGGUCCUCUUUGGCGCCCCCUAGAACGUAGACCGUGGGGUGCAGCGUCAUGAUUUUUACAACUUUGAAUGGCCAUGGGGUGUAGAUUGGCCUGAGCAAAUUUGGUGUCAGUGGGACGAAAGCCUUAGGAGGACUAAGCCACAUUCCAAUGUGUGCGAAUCUGCAAAAAAUGCGAAAAAGCCCUUUAACCGUACAUUUUACAGAUACGCGCGCAUUGACUUUUUCGUAGAUCUUAUUGAGAUGCACGUGAUUGUCAAAUUUUGUGUCAAUAUGACAAAGCAUACAGGCGUGACAUUCAACAAUGUGUAUUUUCGCCUUGGGGGACAAGAAAAAAUGGACUUUUUUCUCCUGCCAUGGGGGGGCGCUCUUUUGGGGAGUAAAAAUUCCUUCACAAAUGUGUUGAUGGCUGGACAUUGCAUCAUCCUAGAGAACUUGGAGGCCAGUGAGGACAAAAAUAAAAAGUUAUAAGACUUUUAAAUAUUUGGAUUUUAGGGUUAUCUUUGGCGCCCCCUAGAACCUAAACCGUGGGGUGCAGCGUCAUGAUUUGUACAACUUUUAAUGGCCAUGGGGUGUAGAUUGGCCUGAGCAAAUUUG